RNAcentral lists this ribosomal RNA (253 nucleotides) under uncultured bacterium. Its description in RNAcentral is "partial 16S ribosomal RNA". It matches the Rfam family "Bacterial small subunit ribosomal RNA", at positions 524 to 776 of the family's 1533-position model. The record is from RNAcentral.
GACAGAGGCCUCGAGCGUUAGGCGGAAUCACUGGGCUUAAAGCGUGUGUAGGCGGGCCCGUAAGUGUCUUGUGAAAUCCCACGGCUCAACCGUGGAACUGCUGGGCAUACUGCGGGUCUUGGGCCAACUAGGGGCAGCCGGAACAAGCGGUGGAGCGGUGAAAUGCGUAGAUAUCGCUUGGAACGCCGAAGGGGAAAACAGGCUGCUGGGGUUGCGCCGACGCUGAGACACGAAAGCCAGGGGAGCAAACGGG